AAGGCGUUUUAAUCCGGGUUCCGAGUUUCAGCCGCAUGGUUAGGAGUUGGAAAGAAUUUUGGUCAAGGAUGGACUCGCGGCCUUUUCAGCUAGUUGGUGAGGUAAUGGCUCACCAAGGCGACGACGGGUAGCCGGCCUGAGAGGGUGACCGGCCACACUGGGACUGAGACACGGCCCAGACUCCUACGGGAGGCAGCAGUGGGGAAUAUUGCACAAUGGGCGAAAGCCUGAUGCAGCAACGCCGCGUGAGGGAUGACGGCCUUCGGGUUGUAAACCUCUUUUAGUAGGGAAGAAGCGAAAGUGACGGUACCUGCAGAAAAAGCACCGGCUAACUACGUGCCAGCAGCCGCGGUAAUACGUAGGGUGCAAGCGUUGUCCGGAAUUAUUGGGCGUAAAGAGCUCGUAGGCGGUUUGUCGCGUCUGCUGUGAAAUCUGGGGGCUCAACCCCCAGCCUGCAGUGGGUACGGGCAGACUAGAGUGCGGUAGGGGAGAUUGGAAUUCCUGGUGUAGCGGUGGAAUGCGCAGAUAUCAGGAGGAACACCGAUGGCGAAGGCAGAUCUCUGGGCCGUAACUGACGCUGAGGAGCGAAAGCAUGGGGAGCGAACAGGAUUAGAUACCCUGGUAGUCCAUGCCGUAAACGUUGGGAACUAGAUGUGGGGGCCAUUCCACGGUCUCCGUGUCGCAGCUAACGCAUUAAGUUCCCCGCCUGGGGAGUACGGCCGCAAGGCUAAAACUCAAAGGAAUUGACGGGGGCCCGCACAAGCGGCGGAGCAUGCGGAUUAAUUCGAUGCAACGCGAAGAACCUUACCAAGGCUUGACAUAUACCGGAAACGUCCAGAGAUGGUCGCCCCGCAAGGUCGGUAUACAGGUGGUGCAUGGUUGUCGUCAGCUCGUGUCGUGAGAUGUUGGGUUAAGUCCCGCAACGAGCGCAACCCUCGUUCUAUGUUGCCAGCACGUUAUGGUGGGAACUCAUAGGAGACUGCCGGGGUCAACUCGGAGGAAGGUGGGGAUGACGUCAAAUCAUCAUGCCCCUUAUGUCUUGGGCUUCACGCAUGCUACAAUGGCCGGUACAAAGGGCUGCGAUACCGUAAGGUGGAGCGAAUCCCAAAAAGCCGGUCUCAGUUCGGAUUGAGGUCUGCAACUCGACCUCAUGAAGUCGGAGUCGCUAGUAAUCGCAGAUCAGCAACG
Molecule: ribosomal RNA, 1188 nt
Filed under: Frigoribacterium sp. TA_EU
Lineage: Bacteria; Bacillati; Actinomycetota; Actinomycetes; Micrococcales; Microbacteriaceae
Description: bacterial SSU rRNA
Rfam family: Bacterial small subunit ribosomal RNA
Source: RNAcentral